RNAcentral lists this ribosomal RNA (494 nucleotides) under uncultured bacterium. RNAcentral describes it as "partial 16S ribosomal RNA". It matches the Rfam family "Bacterial small subunit ribosomal RNA", at positions 28 to 507 of the family's 1533-position model. The record is from RNAcentral.
GACGAACGCUGGCGGCGUGCUUAACACAUGCAAGUCGAACGGUGAAGCGCCUUCCUUUUUGGUGGGUGUGGAUGAGUGGCGAACGGGUGAGUAACACGUGAGUAACCCGCCCCCUUCUUCUGGAUAACCGCAUGAAAGUGUGGCUAAUACGGGAUAUUCUGGGUCUGUCGCAUGAUGGGUCUGGGAAAGAUAUUGUUUCGGUGGGGGAUGGGCUCGCGGCCUAUCAGCUUGUUGGUGGGGUGAUGGCCUACCAAGGCGGUGACGGGUAGCCGGCCUGAGAGGGUGGACGGUCACACUGGGACUGAGACACGGCCCAGACUCCUACGUGAGGCAGCAGUGGGGAAUAUUGCACAAUGGGCGCAAGCCUGAUGCAGCGACGCCGCGUGAGGGAUGGAGGCCUUCGGGUUGUGAACCUCUUUCGCCAGUGAAGCAGGCCUGCCUCGUUUGUGGGUGGGUUGACGGUAGCUGGAUAAGAAGCGCCGGCUAACUACGUG